Non-coding RNA from Phrynosoma platyrhinos (Desert horned lizard), 72 nucleotides. The record is from the annotation of a GenBank genome assembly. NCBI's taxonomy places the organism in Eukaryota, Metazoa, Chordata, Lepidosauria, Squamata, Phrynosomatidae.
GACGGCAUGGCGUAGUGGUUUGAACAAUGGAUUGUGACCCCAGAGACCAGGGUUCGAGUCCCAGCUCAGCCA